GAUGAACGCUGGCGGCGUGCUUAACACAUGCAAGUCGAGCGAAGCACUCCACCGGAAUUCUUCGGAAGGAAGGUGGUUUGACUGAGCGGCGGACGGGUGAGUAACGCGUGGGUAACCUGCCUUACACAGGGGGAUAACAGUUAGAAAUGACUGCUAAUACCGCAUAACCCGCUAGGGCCGCAUGGCCCGGACGGAAAAGAUUUAUCGGUGUAAGAUGGACCCGCGUCUGAUUAGCUGGUUGGUGGGGUAACGGCCCACCAAGGCGACGAUCAGUAGCCGACCUGAGAGGGUGAUCGGCCACAUUGGGACUGAGACACGGCCCAA
This 324-nucleotide ribosomal RNA is filed under the name uncultured bacterium. RNAcentral's name for it is "bacterial SSU rRNA". It matches the Rfam family "Bacterial small subunit ribosomal RNA", at positions 28 to 334 of the family's 1533-position model. The record is from RNAcentral.